UAACACAUGCAAGUCGAACGAACUCUUCGGAGUUAGUGGCAGACGGGUGAGUAACGCGUGGGAACCUACCUUUAGGUACGGAACAACAGUUGGAAACGACUGCUAAUACCGUAUGUGCCCUAUGGGGGAAAGAUUUAUCGCCUAAGGAUGGGCCCGCGUUGGAUUAGCUAGUUGGUGGGGUAAAGGCCUACCAAGGCGACGAUCCAUAGCUGGUCUGAGAGGAUGAUCAGCCACACUGGGACUGAGACACGGCCCAGACUCCUACGGGAGGCAGCAGUGGGGAAUAUUGGACAAUGGGCGCAAGCCUGAUCCAGCCAUGCCGCGUGAGUGAUGAAGGCCCUAGGGUUGUAAAGCUCUUUCAGCGAGGAGGAUAAUGACGUUACUCGCAGAAGAAGCCCCGGCUAACUUCGUGCCAGCAGCCGCGGUAAUAAGGGCGAAUUC
This 441-nucleotide ribosomal RNA is filed under the name uncultured Alphaproteobacteria bacterium. Its description in RNAcentral is "bacterial SSU rRNA". It matches the Rfam family "Bacterial small subunit ribosomal RNA", at positions 49 to 537 of the family's 1533-position model. Lineage: Bacteria; Pseudomonadati; Pseudomonadota; Alphaproteobacteria. The record is from RNAcentral.